Long non-coding RNA from Podarcis raffonei (Aeolian wall lizard), 2368 nucleotides. RefSeq lists it as uncharacterized. NCBI's taxonomy places the organism in Eukaryota, Metazoa, Chordata, Lepidosauria, Squamata, Lacertidae. The transcript is spliced from 2 exons. The record is from RefSeq and is a predicted model, not a curated record.
UGGCUUACAACAUAAAGCACAACUAAACAUCAAACAUUAAAAAACAAGAUAUCCUAUAUAAGCAACAAACAAACCAACAAAUCAAUAACACCAAUAUCAACAAUAUUAACCACAAUAAUAAACAUUUUACAGUUAUACCCAAAUUAAAGUAACCGCCAAACCCAACUAAACCCAACCAAACCAACACCAACCCAACCAAAAUGAAACAGACGAACCAAAAUUAGAGCCAUUUAAACCAUUUUAAAAUUUAGCAAGUUGCCCCAACCCAAGAGUUGUUCCAGCAAUGUCCCAGUGGCCUCCCAGGAGCCCCUUUUAGCAUAGGAGUGUCAGGGCAGGCCACAUGGUACCCACAGCUCUGUCGCUUCCCUGCACCUCAGCAUCUGCCACCUGAGGCAGCUGCCUCACUUUGCCUCAGCAUAGGGCCAGCCCUGUUGUUAGGUAUACUCUAUAAGAAACUGGUGAUAUACAGUACUGGCUUUCCAAAAGGCACACCCUUGGCAUAGCCGGUUUAUUUGAUGUCCAUAUCAGAGUUUCUGUAUGUUAGGAUGAAAUGUGGCACCAUGCUUUGGACAGGUUUCUCCUUCAGGCUGAUUGCCAUCGCAAGAGUGGAUUUGUCUCUGACGCUACUGAAAAAGGAAGUCAUCAGUACUUGUAUUAUUAGUGAAAAGGGAACUGAUUCACUGAGAGAUGCUUCAAACAUGCACUCAGGAUAUGGUGGUGCUCUUGUUUGUCUUCAUCACGUCGAUCCCCAUUAUGCUGGAGCGCAUAAGACCAUCUUCCACAUAUUUGAGACUUCUCCCAGUGCCACUUGGAAAAUCCUAAUUUGGCUUCAUAAACCAAGAUAUGAGUUGCAGACACACCCUAUUUUUAAAGCAUACAACUUUCCCCGAAGAAUUCUAGGAACUGUAGUUUGUUAAGGGUGCUGGAAAUUGUAGCUCAGUGAGGGGUAAAAUACCAGUUCUCAGUCUUCUUUUGGGAAAGCAAAGUGCAUUAAGGAAUAAGCCUUGCUGCUCCUUUUGCAGAAGCUGGGAAAGAAGCCAGGAAGCCUUUAGUUAACUAUAGUUCCCCAUUUUCCAUCACAUCUGAACUAUGGUUAAUGGCCCUCAAACAAGUCAGGAUAUGAAACCAACUUUAAAUCCAUCCAUGGCAUGCUUGUCCAAAUGCAGCCAAUGAGUCAAUUCCCUCAUUGGCAGUUACAGAAAUAGUAAUGACCUUUCCCUGCACUAUAGUAAUGAGACCAGCAAAAUUAUGGGCUGUAGUGUACACCUUGAGGGGACAGCAAGAGCAGAGGCCCAGGCCUUCAAAUUCCUGCCAUCUGUAUCCGGCAAGACUACCAAACAGCCUGCGAGAAUUCUGCCUUAACAAGAAAAGAAAAGAAAAGAAAAAAGAAAAGAAAAUGCUUUUUCACCUUUAUUUUUCAUGAAAUAUUUUAAAUUGCAAACAGCCUUGAUUGCAUUGGCAGAAAGACAAUGCCGCAAACAGAAUAAACAGUAGCCAACAUGGCUCUGUGCAGAAGUUAUUGCUGGACUCCCAACGCCCCAGCAAUCAUGGCCCAAGGUCAAGAAUGGAGGAAGCUGGGAGUCCAGUCACAUCCAGAGGCAACCAUGUUGUCUACCUCUGAUUAUUCAGCAUGGUACCCUCCGAAUAUUUGCCUGUUCUGGGCUGAGAAAUGCGCAAUCAACAUUUGGUAUCGAUAGCACUGCAAACCUAUUUUCCCGUCAAACCAGUAGGGGAUGAUGUUAUACAUAGAAUUAAAGCUCGCUAACUCAUAACUCCUAAAGGAAGUUUUCGCACAAAUGGCUGGGUUCAUUGAACUGUAUUGCGACCUUUAUGAUCAAUCUGAGAACCGACCUUGUCUGAAGGAGCUGGUCUAGUGUAAAGCUCCGGUGAUGUUCCGGUCACGAUUGCAGGACUUUUGACAAUGGUAAUUUAAUUCCAUUGUGGCUGUUUUAUUGCUAUUGGAGAUCUGAACGGAGGGAACAGUUGCUUCCUCUGUCUUGUUCUGCUUCCAUAGAUGAGACGGAGGGCUGGGGCUGGGGGAGAGACGCUCCAAAUAAUAUGAAUGACAGCGAUGAGUCAGCAGUUGUCAACAAGCUAACACCAGGCCAAUGAGGAAUUGGAGCAGAUUGAGUUGCAGCUGAGAAUGUAGGUGACAGGAGUCAUCACCUUGGAAUUUACAGGCCUGUCAACCCAGCAAAUGCUUUCUAACCACAGGAGUUUCAUGUUAACCUCUACUCAGCAUCCGUUUAGAAGCUGCAAGCAACCUCUGGUUUUGAAACAGAGCAUCUAACCGUCAGGUGCUGCCAUUCUUUGCACUCUCACUUGGCACUUGCUUCAGAGUAAAAAUCCAUCGGACCACACAGUUAAA